This 910-nucleotide ribosomal RNA is filed under the name uncultured bacterium. RNAcentral's name for it is "bacterial SSU rRNA". It matches the Rfam family "Bacterial small subunit ribosomal RNA", at positions 33 to 925 of the family's 1533-position model. The record is from RNAcentral.
ACGCUGGCGGCGUGCCUAAUACAUGCAAGUAGAACGCUGAAGAGAGGAGCUUGCUCUUCUUGGAUGAGUUGCGAACGGGUGAGUAACGCGUAGGUAACCUGCCUCUUAGCGGGGGAUAACUAUUGGAAACGAUAGCUAAUACCGCAUAAAAGUCGAUAUCGCAUGAUAUUGAUUUGAAAGGUGCAAUUGCAUCACUAAGAGAUGGACCUGCGUUGUAUUAGCUAGUUGGUGAGGUAACGGCUCACCAAGGCGACGAUACAUAGCCGACCUGAGAGGGUGAUCGGCCACACUGGGACUGAGACACGGCCCAGACUCCUACGGGAGGCAGCAGUAGGGAAUCUUUGGCAAUGGACGGAAGUCUGACCGAGCAACGCCGCGUGAGUGAAGAAGGUUUUCGGAUCGUAAAGCCCUGUUGUAAGAGAAGAACGAGUGUGAGAGUGGAAAGUUCACACUGUGACGGUAACUUACCAGAAAGGGACGGCUAACUACGUGCCAGCAGCCGCGGUAAUACGUAGGUCCCGAGCGUUAUCCGGAUUUAUUGGGCGUAAAGCGAGCGCAGGCGGUUAGAUAAGUCUGAAGUUAAAGGCUGUGGCUUAACCAUAGUACGCUUUGGAAACUGUUUAACUUGAGUGCAGAAGGGGAGAGUGGAAUUCCAUGUGUAGCGGUGAAAUGCGUAGAUAUAUGGAGGAACACCGGUGGCGAAAGCGGCUCUCUGGUCUGUAACUGACGCUGAGGCUCGAAAGCGUGGGGAGCAAACAGGAUUAGAUACCCUGGUAGUCCACGCCGUAAACGAUGAGUGCUAGGUGUUGGGUCCUUUCCGGGACUCAGUGCCGCAGCUAACGCAUUAAGCACUCCGCCUGGGGAGUACGACCGCAAGGUUGAAACUCAAAGGAAUUGACGGGGGCCCGCA